GGCGGACGGGUGAGUAAUGUAUAGGAACUUGCCUAAUAGUGGGGGACAACGUGUGGAAACGCACGCUAAUACCGCAUACGCUCUACGGAGGAAAGCGGGGGAUCUUCGGACCCCGUGCUAUUAGAUAGGCCUAUAUUGGAUUAGCUAGUUGGUAAGGUAAAGGCUUACCAAGGCGACGAUCCAUAGCUGGUUUGAGAGAAUGAUCAGCCACACUGGGACUGAGACACGGCCCAG
This 234-nucleotide ribosomal RNA is filed under the name uncultured bacterium. Its description in RNAcentral is "partial 16S ribosomal RNA". It matches the Rfam family "Bacterial small subunit ribosomal RNA", at positions 97 to 334 of the family's 1533-position model. The record is from RNAcentral.